RNAcentral lists this ribosomal RNA (469 nucleotides) under Micrococcineae bacterium CL1.55. Its description in RNAcentral is "bacterial SSU rRNA". It matches the Rfam family "Bacterial small subunit ribosomal RNA", at positions 16 to 498 of the family's 1533-position model. Lineage: Bacteria; Bacillati; Actinomycetota; Actinomycetes; Micrococcales. The record is from RNAcentral.
UCCCUGGCUCAGGAUGAACGCUGGCGGCGUGCUUAACACAUGCAAGUCGAACGAUGAUCCCAGCUUGCUGGGGGAUUAGUGGCGAACGGGUGAGUAACACGUGAGUAACCUGCCCUUAACUCUGGGAUAAGCCUGGGAAACUGGGUCUAAUACCGGAUAUGACUCCUCAUCGCAUGGUGGGGGGUGGAAAGCUUUAUUGUGGUUUUGGAUGGACUCGCGGCCUAUCAGCUUGUUGGUGAGGUAAUGGCUCACCAAGGCGACGACGGGUAGCCGGCCUGAGAGGGUGACCGGCCACACUGGGACUGAGACACGGCCCAGACUCCUACGGGAGGCAGCAGUGGGGAAUAUUGCACAAUGGGCGAAAGCCUGAUGCAGCGACGCCGCGUGAGGGAUGACGGCCUUCGGGUUGUAAACCUCUUUCAGUAGGGAAGAAGCGAAAGUGACGGUACCUGCAGAAGAAGCGCCGGCU